Molecule: unclassified non-coding RNA, 552 nt
Filed under: Hevea brasiliensis (rubber tree)
Lineage: Eukaryota; Viridiplantae; Streptophyta; Magnoliopsida; Malpighiales; Euphorbiaceae
Source: RNAcentral
AUUAAAUAACUUUUUAACCUACAAAAAAGUUGCGUUUACUUAAUUUGGUAAUAAUAAGAUUUAGGAGUAACAAUUUCGAUAUCCAGUUUAAAGUUCAAGAAACACGCCGAGACUGCACAGAAUAAGGUUCUUCCUCUAUCUUGUCAACGACAUAUUUACGGUCGGAUUCCACCACCACCUAGUGGAAGGACAAGUCCAAUGCCAGUCGCAGACCGAAGGACCAAGCUGCCGCUUCUAAAACUAAACGGAUGCCCAUCACCCAGAAAUCUCCUCGUUGCACAAGCAAGCAGAGCGCCGACCCAGAAGAGUACAGAAAAUUAUCGUCCAAACCAAUCUAAUCUUGUCCCGGAGCACCAUUUCGCACGAAGUAGGAGGGAUCCAUCUCGCACCUACCUGAAAUUGACGAUCUGGCCACUGAAGGUACCGCUACCUCAACCUCCAGUUCAGUAGACACGUGACAAUCACAUUGAGCUUGGACGCUAAAGGUACUAAUGAAAAUACGAUUGCGACAUGAAGUAUUAGGUGUUCUUUCACAUGUCAAUCCACUUCAAA